AAUAAGAUCACCGAAAGUGACUUUGGGAAGGAAAGGGUGUAUUUGGCUUCUCUCUCCAUCACAGCCCACCGUUAAGGGAAGUCAAGGCAGGAAAUCAAGCAGGGCAGGAACCUGGAGGCAGGAGCUCCAGCAGAGGCCUGGGCAGAUGGACCAGAAGGACAGCGGCUCUCUGGCUUGCUCCUCUGGCUCUUGCUCAACUUCCGUUCUUUUUCCUCCCAGGACCACCUGCUCAAAGAUGGCUCCACCCACAGGGGGCUGGGCCCUCCCACAUCAAUCAUUCAUUUCUCCACUGAGAUUCGAGCUUCCUCAGUGACUCUAGCUUGUGUCAAGCUGAGGAAAACAAAACAGAACCAGAACUAGCCAGCACGGGGUCCCUCUCCACCCCGUUGCUGCAUACACCAUCUUCCUGCUGUUAUUUAGAGGGUGUCCGUCCGUCCUCUCUGCCCUCGCUGCUUUCUCUGCCUAGAAUGUCCUUCGUUGUCACCACGGUCCCAAGCCACAGGCUGCUCUUCUGUGGCACCCUCUCUGACCACCCUCAAUGUGCAUCCCUCUCUUCCCAUCCCCAGCUCAGGUCAGCGAUGAGCCCUCGUUCCCUGCCAGGUAGCUCUGACAACCUUACAGCGUCCUGUGACAGCCCAUUUUCGGAAGUGGAGGAGUCCCUCAGCUGGGCAGGGUGCUGACAGUUGGUAUCUUAGGGGGCUGCCGGUGCUAAGAUGUUGGAACAGAGAGGAUCAUUGGUGCUUUCAGCGUUGUGCCGGUCUGGAGCCCUAGGGCAGUGCAGCUCUGCCAGGAGAUCUGGCUAGCCUCUGUGGAGGGCCCUACCCCCUACCCCCCACCCAGGCCUCAGCGGAUGGAGGAAAGUGAUUUGGUGGAAGGCUCACGCCUGCACCUGCCAUCUCCUUCCUGCCCUGUCGGAGGUGCACCGCCUCUCACUGGAGUGUGCUGGUUGCAGCGUAAAGUUGGCACACUCCCAAGGCAAGCUUUAAAGCCAGUCAGGACCCUCGCUCGGUAUGAAGCCACAGGAGAGUAAAUCAAACCAGCACAGUAGGAUCUCCCGUAGCCCAGGAUAGCCUCAAACUUGCAAUCCUCCAGCCUCCCCAAGUGCUGAGAUUACCGCCAGCCUUGAAAUGCCAGUAUCAAGUGCAAACGGACAGCUGCUUGCUUGGUGUGCCUGAACCUUUAAUCCCAGCACUCAGGAGGCAGAGGAAGAAAUAGCUUUUCAAGUUUGAGGCCAGCCUGGCCUACAUGAUGACACGGGUGCUCUCCGUCUGUGCCGACUGAGGAACAGGGAGGGACUGAGAGGAGCCAGUGUCCGUGGGGAAGGCAUGUGGAUAAAGUGGACACGAGGUUCCUUGGCCCAGCUUCCCCUCACGCUUUCUGUCCUCCGUGAGUGCAGAGCAGGGUUCCUGGGGGCUGUCAGUGCCUCCUGCUUGCCCCCUCGCAGACAUAACUUGCUUCCCUGGAACCUGUGUGAGUCUCGCUGCAGUCCCAUGCCUCUUCCCCAGCUCACACCCACGGAGCGUGACGCACACCACGUGAGAACGGAAAGGCCGAGGCAGCUCUGGGCGUUCGUGGCCAACAUCUCCUCUGCUCACAGGCCCAUCACACACUGCGAGUAGGACACACAUUCAAAGGCAAGAUUCAGACAGUUUUAGAGACCACGACGGCAGAGCAUUAAAGCCAAACACGAGGCCCUUCUGAGUCCAGGGCCUCUGAGGCUGCACAAAUCACACGGCACUGAAACCAUCCCUGUUUGGAAGGAGGGCAGGGUAUCAGAACCCAUAACUAAGGUGGAGCCCAGCCCCGAGACCAUCCGAAACAAGGGAAGCUCUCCCUCGCCAGCCCUCCCUCCUGCUUACCAGAAUACUCACUCGGUCUCCAUCUUUCUUCCCUUGACACGGGGUCUCCCUUUGUAGCCCGGGCUGGCCCUGAACGUUCAGGGGCAUCACCGGUGACAUGUGCCACCACGGCUGGCCCGCUCACCGGUGACAUGUGCCACCACAGCUGGCCCGCUCACACAAGCACCAUGGGCAGCUGUGAGGACCACAGACCUCCAGCAAAUGGCUCCUUCACAGCGACCAUCAGGACAGCUACCCUGUGCCUUGGGGUGUAGCAUAGGAAGGAUGACAUCCUAGUGCAGAGAGGUGAACUCAAACACAACGCUCAGAGUGUUGUGCUCACAGUAAGCGCUGCAUGUAUACAUGUGACUAUCAUCAUCUUAGUGCUGUUUCAGUCAUAGUCUAGGCACAGGGAACACUGUGACGCCGAUGGCCCCUAAUGCAUGAUGGUUCAGCCAUAGCGUGCCUUAUGGGCAUUGUGUGCAUUUAAAUCUUUUUAUUAGGUUGUGUGUGUGUCCUCACCAUGGCAUUCAUGUGACCAUCAGAGGACAACCUGCAAACGGGGUUCCAGGGAUGGAACUCAGGCCAUCUGGCCUUUCAGCAAGUGCCUUCACUUGACGAGCCAUCUUGCCAGCCGCGGAGAAUGUUUUAAAAGUUUUAAUUACACUUUAUUUAAUGUGUGCGUGUGUGUGCGUAUUACACUUGCCUAGUGUGUAAGAAGUCCUGAGUUCAGUCUCUAAAUAAAAUCUAGGAAGGUUUUGCAGGGAGUGGUGGCCCGCUUAGUAAUCCAGAGACUGAGAUCACUACAAGUUCAAGGCCAACCUCAUUUACACAGCAAUUUCCAGGCCAGCCUGGACUACAGGGACGCUGUCCCAGAAGAGCAAAACAAAACAAGAAUGAAGUCUUGGCCAUCUCGCGUGAUUAUUUCAAGUGUUUAUCUCAAGUAUUCAUUUCUUCCUUCCCCAAGUAACCGGUAUCCCAAAUUUUGAACCUUGCUGUAAACAUUGAAACACUUACUCCCAUAUGCUGCCCAUCCUGGGUUAUCCACAUCGUGAUGAUCUGCCAGGUCACACGUGACACAGAUGUUUGGCAUUACCUGAUCAUAUCAACCAUUGCCAAAUCAGUCUUGCCACUUGACACGCUUGUUCGAAAUGCUUGGAAGAGCCGGUGGGAGCCACACGCCCACCAACGCGUGGCAUCGAUUAAUCAUUAACUUUCGAUAGUCAGCUCGGUGUGAAACGGUAUUGCAACCUGAACAUUUGCAUUUCCCUGAUUAUUAAAUUUGACUACAUUUUAAUGUAUUACCGAGCCAUCUCUGCCUCGUGGUUGGUGAAAAGGCUAUUGGUUUCUUUUGAACGUUUUCUUGUUGAUGCAUAAUUAACUAUCGCUUACAUGCUUUUCUCUAGCUUUAGAUGCCUUUAGAUAAUGGAAAUUACAACUUUUGAUGUAAGGGAAUGUAUCAAUCCUUUCCUUUAGGAUGUCUCCUCCUGUCUUGUUUUAAAAACUGUAGUUUAGUGGAAGGGCUUUGACUGUCACACAUGAGAUUUGGGGUUUGAUCUUGAACCCUGAACACACAAGAAACAAAACCUAACCUUCCCCUGAAACAAUAGGUUACUCUCUCUCCUGGGCACAUUUCUAGGAAUUGUUGGCAUAAUGCAUUAUUGUGAAGUUUACCUUUGUUCAUUCAAAUGCUGAUUUCUCUAUCCUGUUAUCUGGUUUCAAUAUACACUUGAAAUUGUAAUGUUUAUUCUAAUUAUCUCCUGUCUCAAUUUUGUGUAAACAAGACCACCAUUUUUUUUUUCCUGUUCUGCCAUUAAAAUGCUGACCAGCCAAUGCUGAGCAGUAGAAAGAAUAGGGUGGGACUUCUAGGUCCAGGGAUGGGAGGAGAAAGACAGAGAAAGUGAGAGAUGAAGCCUCUGAGGUUCUGGAGGCAUCAGGCAAGUUGACGGGAGCUAGGAGAUGAUUAUAACACAGGUAGAAUGGGGAAUUUGGCUGGGAGGAAGCCAGACUCUGGAGGUUUAGGAUGGAGUAAUAAUUGCUCUGCAUUGUGCUCAAGGCUAAUUAAACAAA
Long non-coding RNA from Meriones unguiculatus (Mongolian gerbil), 3908 nucleotides. RefSeq lists it as uncharacterized. The record is from RefSeq and is a predicted model, not a curated record. NCBI's taxonomy places the organism in Eukaryota, Metazoa, Chordata, Mammalia, Rodentia, Muridae. The transcript has 5 exons.